RNAcentral lists this ribosomal RNA (1061 nucleotides) under uncultured Ornithinicoccus sp. Its description in RNAcentral is "bacterial SSU rRNA". It matches the Rfam family "Bacterial small subunit ribosomal RNA", at positions 335 to 1394 of the family's 1533-position model. Lineage: Bacteria; Bacillati; Actinomycetota; Actinomycetes; Micrococcales; Intrasporangiaceae. The record is from RNAcentral.
AUUCCUACGGGAGGCAGCAGUGGGGAAUAUUGCACAAUGGGCGAAAGCCUGAUGCAGCGACGCCGCGUGAGGGAUGAAGGCCUUCGGGUUGUAAACCUCUUUCAGCAGGGAAGAAGCAGCCGGGUUUUCUUGGUUGUGACGGUACCUGCAGAAGAAGCACCGGCUAACUACGUGCCAGCAGCCGCGGUAAUACGUAGGGUGCAAGCGUUGUCCGGAAUUAUUGGGCGUAAAGAGCUUGUAGGCGGUUUGUCGCGUCUGCUGUGAAAUUUCGGGGCUCAACCCCGAACUUGCAGUGGGUACGGGCAGACUAGAGUGUGGUAGGGGAGACUGGAAUUCCUGGUGUAGCGGUGAAAUGCGCAGAUAUCAGGAGGAACACCGAUGGCGAAGGCAGGUCUCUGGGCCACUACUGACGCUGAGAAGCGAAAGCAUGGGGAGCGAACAGGAUUAGAUACCCUGGUAGUCCAUGCCGUAAACGUUGGGAACUAGGUGUGGGCCUCAUUCCACGAGGUCCGUGCCGCAGCUAACGCAUUAAGUUCCCCGCCUGGGGAGUACGGCCGCAAGGCUAAAACUCAAAGGAAUUGACGGGGGCCCGCACAAGCGGCGGAGCAUGCGGAUUAAUUCGAUGCAACGCGAAGAACCUUACCAAGGCUUGACAUGUGCCGGUAAAGUGCAGAGAUGUGCUCCCCGCAAGGUCGGUACACAGGUGGUGCAUGGUUGUCGUCAGCUCGUGUCGUGAGAUGUUGGGUUAAGUCCCGCAACGAGCGCAACCCUCGUUCUAUGUUGCCAGCACGUGAUGGUGGGGACUCAUAGGAGACUGCCGGGGUCAACUCGGAGGAAGGUGGGGAUGACGUCAAAUCAUCAUGCCCCUUAUGUCUUGGGCUUCACGCAUGCUACAAUGGCCAGUACAAAGGGCUGCGAUACCGCAAGGUGGAGCGAAUCCCAAAAAACUGGUCUCAGUUCGGAUUGGGGUCUGCAACUCGACCCCAUGAAGUCGGAGUCGCUAGUAAUCGCAGAUCAGCAACGCUGCGGUGAAUACGUUCCCGGGCCUUGUACACACCGCC